This 740-nucleotide ribosomal RNA is filed under the name uncultured bacterium. RNAcentral's name for it is "bacterial SSU rRNA". It matches the Rfam family "Bacterial small subunit ribosomal RNA", at positions 64 to 817 of the family's 1533-position model. The record is from RNAcentral.
CGACGGAACAGAAUGAACCUAGUGAUUUCUGUUUUAGUGGCGGACGGGUGAGUAACGCGUGGGUAACCUGCCUUGCACUGGGGGAUAACACUUAGAAAUAGGUGCUAAUACCGCAUAAGCGCACAAUACCGCAUGGUAAAGUGUGAAAAACUCCGGUGGUGCAAGAUGGACCCGCGUCUGAUUAGCCAGUUGGCGGGGUAACGGCCCACCAAAGCGACGAUCAGUAGCCGGCCUGAGAGGGUGAACGGCCACAUUGGGACUGAGACACGGCCCAAACUCCUACGGGAGGCAGCAGUGGGGAAUAUUGCACAAUGGGGGAAACCCUGAUGCAGCAACGCCGCGUGAGUGAAGAAGUCAUUCGUGAUGUAAAGCUCUAUCAGCAGGGAAGAAAAUGACGGUACCUGACUAAGAAGCCCCGGCUAACUACGUGCCAGCAGCCGCGGUAAUACGUAGGGGGCAAGCGUUAUCCGGAUUUACUGGGUGUAAAGGGAGCGUAGACGGCGAGACAAGUCUGAAGUGAAAUGCCAGUGCUCAACACUGGAACUGCUUUGGAAACUGCCUGGCUGGAGUGCGGGAGAGGUAAGUGGAAUUCCUAGUGUAGCGGUGAAAUGCGUAGAUAUUAGGAGGAACACCAGUGGCGAAGGCGGCUUACUGGACCGUAACUGACGUUGAGGCUCGAAGGCGUGGGGAGCAAACAGGAUUAGAUACCCUGGUAGUCCACGCGGUAAACGAUGAUUACU